This 9864-nucleotide long non-coding RNA is filed under the name Nicotiana tabacum (common tobacco). Its description in RNAcentral is "long non-coding RNA (NTAB_LNC002426)". The record is from RNAcentral. Lineage: Eukaryota; Viridiplantae; Streptophyta; Magnoliopsida; Solanales; Solanaceae.
CUCAAACGGCGCCCCAACCUCCUCCACCUUCUACUGUCGUUUACCACCCCGAUUAUUCCUCAUUCUUUCCUCUCACUCGAAUCUCACGUGCUUCAUCUCUCUCCAACAAAUGAAGGAUUGAUGGGGGUCGUAGGAUUAAGGGGGUUUAAUCCUCUUCGUCUAUCUGUCCCAAGUUAGUUGAUUUCAGAGAGAUUUUUCUCAUUUUUGGGGGAUUUUCAGAUUUAGAAGGUUCGAGAUUUCUGGAGAAAAGAAUAUAUAAGGUGAGGAUUUUCAUUCUUAAGGGAGGAUUUUUUUUGGGAAAAAGUUUGAGAAUAAAUUUCGGAGAGAGAUUUUGACAGAAAACUAGGGUUUUGUGCUUAGUUUCCUUUUGAUUUUUUUUCUCUGUUGUCUUGUCAAUCCUAGAGAAGAAAUACUAAAGAAUUUAGUUGUUAUUUUGUUACGAGUUUUGCUUCAAAAGAUCUGGACAAAAAAAUUCAAAAAAAAAAAGAAAAAUAGUUAUGUAUUUCAGUACUUCCUUUCAAUUCUAAAAAAGAAUGUUUCUAUUUUGAGUAAAUUAGCAUUUCAAUUCGAAAACAUAUACAAAAAAAAGUAUUCCAGUUUUUGUGUUUUGAUUUCGAGUCUCAAACAUGGGUGUUCGAAAGAGCUGCGAUCGUUUCUAGUUCGCAUUUGAAAAUACAUUUUCCAGUGAGGUUGAUUCUGUUCGAGGUUCAAGUUGUCCGUCCUUGAUUAGUUUACUGCCAUUCCAGGUUUGCGGACAAGUUUGUCACCGGACUAUCUUGUAAUCGCCUUCUGGCAAAUUAAUCGCAAACUCCCAUUCAGGUUCACAUCUUAUCUUACUAUGUUUAUGUAUGUAUGAAUCAAAGUAUGGUUGGAGCUUAAGAUAUGAAAGUUUAAAUUACAUGGUAUACUUAAGUGAGUGUUAGUGAAUGCCGGCUGUGAUCGAGCUAUUACCAGUUUAUGGAUUUUUGUUUUUUUAUAUGUUAAGGUGUUUAAUUUCUUUAUGUGUUUGAAAUAUGUUUUAAAGUUUGUACUUACUAGAUUUUUACAUGAAUGACUGAUCUUCUAGUCCGCUCUGUGAUUGAUAGGCGAGACAUGUUACUAUUGUGCUUAUUUUUGGUUAUUAGAAGAAUUUCUUGCACAUCUCGAUUCCAAAUUGGAUUCACAAUAAUGUUAAUCAGUGAUUCCUAUUAUAUCCAAACAUCUUGAUUAGUUUAACAUGACAUAUCCAUUAGAGCAUGCCAUUAUGUGUAGGAUUGAAGGAGUCUAUGUUAGUCGUGAAUCAGCGACUUUGGUGUAGCCUUUAAUUGUUUGAAUGAACCCAGUGCACCCAGAAUAGUAAGGUUUGCUACUUAAAGACUUAGUUUCAUUUGUUUACUUUCAUUAACUAUGGAUUCUUACGUUUGAUAUUUCCUAUCUCAAUUUAAAGGUUGAUCUCCAGAAGAUUACUUUUUCUGUUGUUCCUUCUAAUUUUCAUAAUGCCCGUGUGAUGCUCAUUACCACUCUUUAGUGCUGAUUAGUAUAAUUAAAUAACUUUUCUUUUGGUGUAAAUGAAUAGUAAAGUAGCUUCUGUUCUUGAGUUGUAUGGUUAAUGAUAGUUGUUCUUUUGUUAAUAUGUAAAGAAAUGAAUGCCUGCAACUUAAGGAGAUUUACCAUUCUGAAAUUUAGUGUAUCUAAGGCCUAAAUAUGGAUCUGUCUAAGUACAAUUUGAACCAUUUAUUAGCAUUUGCUUUGGUUUAGUUUUAAAAUGCAAACUUCAUGUUAGCUGGGCGUAUUCCAGCAUUUGGCUUGGUUUAACUAUUUAUUUUUUGGUAGUAGACAUUUGCUCAUAUGAUGUUCCAGCAGUCGGUAUUGUGUUUUAAAUCGAAUGGACAGUCUAUUGAAUCUUGCUCUUAUAUUUCCUUAUUGGCAUGCUUUAUUUUAUCUGCUCUAUAGAAUCAUUGUUAUGUUAGGGAUCAUGUGUUGUAUUCUUUCCUUAGGGUGGUGUUGUCUGUUGAAGUUGUCAUACUCAUAGCGGCGAACUAAUACUUACUAUGUGGCGCAUUUGAGUUGGUUCAAUGCUCUGAUCUUUGUAUUACUGGAGUUGGCAUUAAGAAGUUGCCACUAUAUAUUUGAUAAUUAACGUGUUCCUGAUACUGCAAUACAAUAAGAUUUCAUAUUGUGGACAAACUUUUGUACAUUAUUGAACAAUUUUGGGCAAAACAGUCUUAAUAAUAAUAAAAUGCUAUUAAUUGUGUACACAUCCACGUGACACGAGUACGUUUUUUUUUAAAAUGAAUAUUCAUAGAAAAUGCUUUAGGUGCGACUUAAUCGAAUCAUCGUGAUUGUGUACAUGUUCGCGUGACAUAAUUACGAUUGUUUUUUAAUAAAUAAAUAAAUAAAUUAAGGUAUGCGUUCGCGCAACUUUGGCCAAACUUUCUUAAUAAUAAUAAUAAAGUGUGAUUAAUUAUGGACACGUACACGUGACAUGAUUUUUGAUGCGCCAAACAAAUGGUACACAUACGCCUGACCUGUUUUAAGAUAAUUUUGUAAUUAAAAAAGGUAAAUGCACAUAAGUUUUAAAAUAAGUAAUUAAACAACUUAAUCCAAGUAUAAAUUGCUAAGCGACCGUGCUAGAACCACGGAACCUGGAAAUCCCUAACAUCUUCUCCCGGGUUAACAGAAUUCCUUAUCUAGAAUUUCUGGUUUGCAGACUUUUAAAUAAAGUCAAAAAUUUCCUCGAUUUGGGAUUUAAAAAUAAACCGGUGACUUGGGACAUAAAAAAUAAAUUAUUCCAAGUGGCGACUCUGAAAAAUUAAAUAAAAUAACCACAUCUCGAAUAAUGUCACUUUAAUUGGAAAAACUCCCAUAGACCCUCGAUAUGUCACGACCCAAAACACGACCGGUCAUGAUAGCGCUUAUCGAUGAUACUAGGCCAACCAACAUUUCCAAAAUGCUUUCAACAAUAACCAGAAAUAAAUCAAGACUUUACAAUUAACUAAAAUCUUUGCCAUAAAAAGGGAGUGAACCCCAUAACAUAAGUGCGGAAAUAAAGUCCGACAUCGGGGUGUCACUAGUCAUAAGCAUCUAACAUAAUCGAUCCAAAAAUAACAAGACUAACAUAGUCUGGAAUCCAAAAUACAGCAAAACAAGGAAAUAUAGGGAAGAAGAAAGCAGGGUUGCGAAUGCCGGCAGCUGCCUCGUGAUCUCCAAUGACCAGCUACGAGUACUAUCAACAACCUCCGCGUCUAAUAACUCCUGAAUCUGCACACGAGGUGCAUGGAGUAACAUAAGUAUACCAACUCAAUAAGUACCAAUAAUAAAUAAGGAACUGAAGAUAGUGACGAGCAACCCAGUUUUAGUUCAUUUUUCAAUAAUUUCAGAAAGGAAAAUAGUCAUGCUUUCCAAGUUCCGGUAAUUCAAGUCAAAUUAGUUUAUUUUAGUCAAGUUCAAGUAAAAUCAGAUAAGACUAUCUUUCAACUAUUUUAAAAACAUGGAUAUAACGCAACUGUGUCAUCAGUAAUGUAAUCAUAUAUUGCCUCUCGGGCAAUCAUCUCCCAGUCCUCCCAAUAACUCCAACCUCAUAAUCACUCAUUCCUCUCAAUCACUCAUUCCUCACAAUCACUCAACACUCGGCACUCACACUCAGUAGGUACCUGCGCUCACUGGGGGUGUGCAGACUUUGGAGGGGCUCCUUCAGCCCAAGCUCUAUAGCAAGCCAAUCAUGGCAUAAAUCAAUCAGGCCCUCGGCCUCACUCAAGCAUAAAUCAAUAAAACAUGCUGUGGCGUGCAGUCCGAUCCCAUAAAUAUCCUCACAAUCAGGCCCUCGCCCUCACUUAGUCAUCAAUAUCUGUAGUCUCUCGGACUCUCAAGUAUUAGGAAAAUCAGCCCAAACAACAAUAACAUGAUGCAUCGAAUAGAAUAACAGAGACUGAGAUAUGAUAUGCGAGUAAAAACUGUGACUGAGUACAAAUAACAUUUAACAGGCAAUUCAACAUGAAACACGGCCCCUAUGGGACCCAACAGUACCAACAUAUAGCCUAAACAUGGUUUCUAACAUGAUUUACAGUCAAUUUUUCAUAACACAUAGAGAGCAUAUAGCUAACAGUAUGUCGUUCAACUUUACAGUUCUACGGGACGGACCAAGUCACAAUCCCCUGGGUGCAUGCUAACACGUCCGUCACCUAGCAUGUGCGUCACCUCCAUAAUAGUCAGAAGACACAAUGUCCAUGUUUCAUACACUCAGGACCAGAUUUACAACUAUUACUUACCUCAAUCCGAGCAAAAUCCGAUGCCUUUGUCUCUCGAAUCGGCCUCAAAACAUCCCAAAUCUAGCCAAAAGCAAUACAAUACAAUCAAUAUAUUCCAAGGAACCAAUACCACAGGAAAAACUACUAAAUUGGACUCCAAUCCUGAAAUUGGCUCAAACUCGGCCUCCGGGCCCACGUCUUGAAAUUCGACAAAAGUCACAAAACUAGAAAGCCCAUUUACUCACGAGUCUAACCAUACCAAAUUUACCAAAAUCCGACCUUAUUUGGUCACUCAAAACUCCAAAGUUCACUCUAAAAAAUCCCAAGCCCUAACCCCAAAUUUUCACUUCAAAACCCCACUAAUUAGAUGAGAAAUCAACGGGAAAAUACAAUAGCUAAGGGUACUUAGGUUCAAGGGACUUACCUCAGUGAAAAUCUUUGAAUCUCCUUCAAAAAUCACCUCAAAAGCUCCAAGGUCCAUGUAGAAAAUGGUAGAAAUGAGGAAAAAUCACGAAGUCCUCUAUUUAUACAUUCUACCCAGCGAAGCCGCACCUGCGGUCCCUUCACCGCAUCUGCAGACCAAGCUUCGCUUCUGCAGAAAUCAUUUACAACCCUUGGGACCGCUUCUACGCCUCUAGACCGCAUUUGCGGUCAUCGUAGGUGCGGAAAAACCAUUGCACCUGGAGUCCGAACACGCACCUGCGCCCCAAAAUCCGCUUCUAGGACCAUCGCAGGUGCAGGAACUUCAUCGCACCUGCGCCCUCUGCCUUGCUCCUCCGAUCUCAUAUCUGCUAUCUAUCGCUCACUGCUGCGGGCUCACACCUGCGAUGAGACAUCCGCAGGUGCGAUUAUGACAGGUGAGUUCAACUUCACCAACUCCUCCAAUUUCCAAACUUGUUCCGUUAAUCACCCGAAAUCAACCCGAGACCCUCGGGACCUCAACCGAACAUAACAACAUAUUCCAUAACGUCAUACAAACUUAGUCGAACCUUCGAAUUAUCCAAAACAACAUCAAAACACCAAAUUACACUAGGAUUCAAGCCUAAGAACUUCUAAACAUUUGAAUUCCACAAAUGAUGCUGAAACCCGCUAAACCAUGUCCGAAUGACCUCAAAUUUUUUACACAAGUCAAAAAGGAACCACUAACUUAUUCCAACUUUCAGAAUUCCAUUCCGACCCUGAUAUCAAAAUUUCCACUACCGACCAAAAUCGCUAAAAUUCUAACCUUCGCCAAUUCAAGCCUAAUUCUACCACAGGCAUCCAAAUCACAUUCCGAAUGUGCUCCCAAGUCUAAAAGUACCUAAUGGAGCUAACAGAACCAUCAAAAUUCAAAUAUGAGAUCAUUUAUACAUAAGUCAACAUCUGGUCAAUUUUUCCAACUUAAACUUCGUCCUAAGAGACUAAGUGUCUCAAUUUACUCCAAAACCACUCCGGACCCGAACCAACUGACCCGGUAAGACAUAAUACAGCUGAAGAACACAAGUGAAGCAGAAAAAAGGGGAACAGGGCUGUAACUCUCGAAACAACCGACCGGGUCGUUACAUCCUCUCCAUCUUAAACAAACGUUUGUCCUCGAACGGGUCUAGAAACAUAUCCGGAGCCUCAAAUAGGUGUGGAUAUUUGCUCCGCAUCUCCCGCUCAGUCUCCCAAGUAUCCUUCUCCAUGAGCUGACCUCUCCACUGCACUUUCACUGAAGCUAUAUCCUUUGAUCUCAACUUUUGGACAUGCCGCUCCAAAAUGGCCACCGGAUCCACAUCAUAAGUUAAAUCAUCAUCCAACUGAACCAUGUUGAAAUCCAAAACAUGAAAUGGAUCGCCGAUGUACUUCUGAAGCAUAGAAACAUGAAAUACUGGAUGCACAUUCGAUAAGCUAGGCGGCAAAGCAAGCUCAUAGGCCAUCUCCCCAAUCCUCCAAAGCACCUUAAAUGGCCCAAUAAACUGAGGGCUUAACUUGCCCUUCUUUCCAAACCUCAUAACACCCUUCAUGGGUGAAACCUUCAGUAGAACCUUCUCCCCAACCAUAUAAGACACAUCACAUACCUUCCUGUCAGCAUAACUCUUUUGCCUUGACUGUGUUGUGCGAAGCUACUCUUGGAUCACUUUCACCUUAUCCAAAGCAUCCUGAACCAAGUCGGUACCCAGAAGCCUAGCCUCAUCCGGCUCAAAACAACCCACUAGGGAUUUACAUCGCCUCCCAUAUAAAGCCUCAUACAGAGCCAUCUGAAUGCUCAACUGAUAACUGUUGUUGUAGGCAAAUCCUGCGAGUGGUAGAAACUGGUCCCAUGAACCACCAAAUCAAUGACACACGUACAUAACUUGUCCUCUAAUAUCUGAAUAGUGCGCUAGGACUGUCCGUUCGUCUGAGGAUGAAAUACUGUGCUCAACUCAACCUGAGUGCCUAACUCUCACUGCACGACUCUCCAAAACUGCAAUGUAAACUACGUGCCUCUGUCUGAAAUGAUGGAAACUAGCACACCGUGAAGGCGAACAAUCUUUUUGAUAUAAAUCUCUGCCAACCGGUCUGAAGAAUAGGUAGUACUUAAAGGAAUGAAGUGCGUGGACUUGGUCAGUCGAUCUAAAAUCACCCAAAUAGUAUUGUACUUCCUCGAAGUACGUGGGAGCCCAACUAUGAAAUCCAUGGUGGUCCGCUCCCACUUUCACUCUGGAAUCUCUAUCUGCUGAAGCAAGCCACCCGGCCUCUAAUGCUCAUAUUUCACCUGUUGACAGUUGAGACACCUGUGAGCACGUGAUUUUUGUUUACGCGAUAAUCAUUCCAAAAAGAAAUAAAAAUAAUGGCAAAUGGUCUUGCUGUACAAGUUUUGGAUUUUACGUGGCGUUCUUGUUAGUUAUUCGUGAUCUUGUUCGUUUUUAUCAAACAAAAUACAAAAAAUGUGCGUCGUGUAUAGUUGGACCAUAAUCCGGUUAUUUAAAGGAAAAUCACAAAAUAUGCAUCUUUUGUCCUAUUUGCUUCCUUAGCGUGAUUUUACCUACUUUAAAUAUUUUAAUAUGUGUGUAAUAAUUACAUUAAGUGUUAAUUAAUGGUGGUUAAUUUUUAUUUAAUUAGGUUUUGUGUUUAAAAAUUAGAAAUAAAUGAAAAGGGUGCAAUUUGUUUUAAAUAAAUUUGGGCUGGUUCCCCAUUUUAAAAUUUGAGGCCCAAACGAGCAGCACAAGCCACCGGUCCAGCAGACCCAUCUCGAAGCCUCCAAACGACGUAGUUUGACACCAAAACUACGUCGUUUCAGUGGGGCAACUCAUCCCAGCCACUAGAGCAACCCUGAUCUAACGGCCCUCAUCAUAUCCCCCGUACCCACAAAAUAAACCCGACCCAAUGAAACCCGGUCUGACCUAUCCCAGCAUGAGAACAAACGACACCGUUUGUUUAGUGGAAAGAUCACAGCCGUUGAUCAGUGGCGAUCCAACGGCCAACAUCAGAUCACUUACCCCGUAUAUAAACCUUCCCCCUUCACCCCGCGCCUAAGCCAGACCCCCCCUGCUUUAGGUCGUCUCCUUCACAGAUCCCAAACCCCACGAAACCCUAGCCGCCCCCUUUCCCCUCACCAUUAAUCCCGGCGGCAUGGAUGCCGGUGACCCCCACCUUAACACCAUAGGACCGCCUCACCAACCUGAACCUAGAUCUGUUUUCCUUUUGCUUCGAAUCAGUCCCUAGGCUCUCGAAUCUUCAUUUGAAGAUUCCAGCAGAACUCCCAUCUACACCGAUCAACCCCAGUUUCACACCAGACAGUCCCCGGACCUCCCUCGUGACCAAACCAUGCUUGGUUUGGUCCGAAUCUAACUAAGGAAACCCAAAUCUGCCCUCUAGGAACCCUAGGAAUCCUCAUGCCUGGUCUGUGUCCGUUUGAGCCAAGUGAUUAGGGUCUAAUGGACCUUAAUCGAAGUGUUCUCAGUUGAGAACACUUCGAUUAAAGUCCGUUCAACCCCGAGAAAGGUCUAUUCAAAUCCGAGCUAAGGCUUUCUGAUUUUUCAAGGCUUUAGGGUAAGUUUGUUUUUCUUUUUCUUUAUUCAGUUCAUGUGUUUGUUAAAGGUCUGUUCGUAUGGCUAAAUGUUUAGUUUAUUUUUUUUUAAUUGUUUGUCGACUGUCCCUGUCCACCUUGCCCGGACCUCUGUAUUUGGUCUAGUCCUUCUUCAUUCACUGAUUAAUGUGUGUGUAUGUAAACUGCAUAAUCGACUGAAUUGAAAUUGGUUAAGUAAUCAAUUCCCAAGGUCAUCUUUGUUUUGACAGUGCAAUCUGAACCCUUUGUGCAAUACUGUUUGAUUCCAAUCCUUGGCUAUUGAUUGUAUAUGUUAUAAUUAGUAUAGUCGAUUCGAUAUGUGUCGUCGACUAGUUUCAGCUGUUUGAAUGAUAACAAUUUGAUUUGUUUUCCUGCUAAACUUUGUCUGAAUCAAAUUAAGAAUCGAGUAUAGCUACUUAUAGUUGUUGUAUUUGAGUCAGAAAUGUAAGGAUUUGGUUUGUUUAGUUGCAGUCUGAAUUGAUGGCAUGUGCACUUGUGCACAACAUGUGCAUUAAGGCUAUUUUUAAUAUUAAAAUAGUUUGACAGCAUAUGCUGUCAGAUUAUAUUCUUGCUGCCCAUGUCUGCUUUUAGUUUAAUAAAAUGAUAAAGGGGACUGUCAGGGAAUGUCAUGGGAGGGGUUUUUAUUUUAAGUAGUUGAGUGGAAAGAAAAGAGACCACAUGGGGGGUUCUGAUGUGUUUAACAGGCUGUGAAUAGCCUGAUGUUAGGCUAUAAAAAGAGGCAGAAUUUCCAUUAGUGAGGGGACUGGAUUUUGAGACCAGAUAUAGAUUUAGAAAAGAGAGAGAUUCACUGAAUUUUAAAAGAAGGGAGACUGACUAUCUUUAGACAGACAUAUUCAAAAAAAGAUACAUAGAGAGAAAUAGAGAGACAUACACACAUUGAGAGAAAAACACAGAUAGAUAGAGAGGUUAAGAGAUAGAAAACAUACAGAUAACAAUCAGGAACUGUUUAUUCCUACUGUUGUGUGGGUUUCAUUUGUUCAACCUGUUCAAUCAAUUCUGAUUUCUUCCAAGUCUCAACUAAGUUUACUGGUUGUGGUUUGCAUUGGUUUGUUUUCCUGGACUUGAUCUGUCUUGGAGCUCUGUUUCUACUGCACUGCUUGCUGUUGUUAUUUUGUUACUGUUUUUUCCAUCGGCUAUAGUUGCAUCUUGCACUGGGAUUUGUCCUGUCGUUAUCUGCUGUUACUGCUGCUGCUUCUGUUGCCAUUGCUACUCUACUGACUUCUCUUCUUCUUCAAUUGUAAGCAUUUCCAGGUACACACUUCUGAAACCAUGUGUUGUUGAAAGCUUGAAGUUUGAAGUAGAAAUAAAGAAAUGAAUGUUGUUUACUUUACAAUACCUGUAUUCAAAAACAUAGCAAUAGGUUGAAUGGUAGUUAGCCUGUAUUUGUUUAAGUUCAUUCCAUCUACAAUUACUCUGUAUGAAUUAACACACAUCCUAACCGAGGUGGACUACUAGAUAGUAUUAUUGUUAGGUCAGAUGUAUCGGGAGAUGAUGUACUUGUUAGAUCAGUUUAUAGCUCAUUAAAUAUACAUUUGCGCAAUAUGUACUUAAUAGAAGUUUAGUCUAUUUAACACUAUGUGGUUAUAGUUGUUAAAUUGUCUGUAUGAC